This 55-nucleotide non-coding RNA is filed under the name Strongylocentrotus purpuratus (purple sea urchin). RNAcentral describes it as "Guanidine-II sequence". It matches the Rfam family "Guanidine-II riboswitch aptamer (mini-ykkC)". From Rfam's summary of the family: Simpler in structure and has fewer highly conserved nucleotide positions than the ykkC-yxkD leader. Despite this each of its two stem-loop structures directly bind free guanidine. Therefore, mini-ykkC RNA motif represents a distinct class of guanidine-sensing RNAs. The record is from RNAcentral. Lineage: Eukaryota; Metazoa; Echinodermata; Echinoidea; Camarodonta; Strongylocentrotidae.
GAGGGGGGACGACCCCCCCCCCCCCCUCUAAAAAAUGAGGGGGGACGUGUCCCCC